Long non-coding RNA from Culex pipiens pallens (northern house mosquito), 1948 nucleotides. RefSeq lists it as uncharacterized. The record is from RefSeq and is a predicted model, not a curated record. The transcript has 4 exons. NCBI's taxonomy places the organism in Eukaryota, Metazoa, Arthropoda, Insecta, Diptera, Culicidae.
CCGGUCGGCGGUUCCGAAAAAAUUUCGCGACGAAUUUGAAAACAUUCGAUGUUUGCGAAAUCAUGGCAAAUGUUUUCGAUAUUGAAAGAAUUGUUUUCGUCUUUGAAACAAAAUGUUUGCGUAAUCGCAAACCCCAUGAUUGCGGUACGAAUUUCUGUGUCGUCCGACGCAGCCAAUGCGUUACACUUUGACAGCUCGACGAUCAGCUGCUCGCGCACAAAUAAACAAACAGAAAUUGUACGAACAUAACCUUCUCGCGGAUGUUUUGUUUCUUUUCUGUGCUGCUGUGAUUUUUGUUUAUAAAAUCGGGAGUGAAACUUGUUACCGGUCCGGUCUUGUCCGCACGAGUGAACCGAGCACCAUCGGGGAUGCUUGACCACAUUUGGCCCAGAUCUCAGGCUAGGCCGAUUUUGGUCUGAUCCGGAAUCAGGAGGAGGAAACAACAAAGGACGGCUGCAGCUGAAUGCACAGCGUAGAAAUCUUCGUUAAGAUGAUUUUCCCCGGAGAGAAAACUGACACCAUCUGAUGGUGUCAUUGGCCAAAACAACACGACAGACAGCCAGCACCCGCGAAGAUACCGGCAAGAACGUGUCCCCGUUCCUGUGCUCACCGGACACGAAACCUGAGGCGCGGAUACGAAUGCGGUGAGAACACCACGAUCGUGCCUAACAGCAUGUGUACCACGAAGCCUCAGCUUGACCCGCAGUUCUACAACAUCAUCGACUGCCUUGUGCGGUGGUAGGUUUCCGAGUGGAGCAAGUGCUCAAAACCCUGUGCAGGCGGCCUCAAGGAGCGUCGCGUCGAGUGCAAGCAAAUCAUGGCCCAGGAACACAAGGUCGAAUGGCCGGCGUCAAUGUGCCCGAGCAACACACCUCCGAACAAGAAGCCCUGCAACGGCAAGGCGUGCGCCCCGGAAUACCAGAAGCCCCCGAUCCCCGGGAACCAACUCGACCUUUAUCUAGUACGACCCCGAGAAAAACAAUCUCUCGUUCAAAUUCGGCGGUGCAGCGACCACACGAACACUCUUUGCGACGCAAAUCAAAAUCAAAUGCCCCGUCGAUCGAUUCAACCGAAUCAAAAUUCGGUGGACCAAAGAAGCCGUCGCCGUAGCUCAAUCUACGGCUCGCAAUUGCAGCAUGAGUUCGGUGAACACCUUCACAGAUCCGACUGCUGACGGAGAUUCUGGGGACUUGUUCCGGGCGGACGGUCUUCUAGUGGAGGCCACUCCGCUCGUCGAUUCUCGAAGUGAAAAUCGGCGGUCAACCUUCAGGACGAGCCAGCUCGCUGCGCGACGUGGGAAAUCAGCCAGAUCGACGACCCUAGCACGCUGCACCGGUCUCAGCACCUCUAUCCGGGUGGCCCCGCGCCGACGUCACCGAGCACGAGAAGGACCUGUACAAACAUUACCAAAAAUCAUAGCUGCCGCGGUGCCGGCCACAAAGACUUUGGCAAGUGGAGCAUCAACGAGUGCAUUUCGGCCACUCCACCUUCUUUUCUUACUGCUAGCACCGGGAUUCACGUCACGGGGAGCAACAUUCCAACGGCGGCACCGACGCCCAGCGGUAACCUGCUGCCCCACGGACAUCGAGGACGGCCAGAUCAGAACAAUCGACUCGUUUGAACCUUCACAAGUCAAAGGCAAAACACAUCGAAAAAAAAUAAAAUUCACAAAAUUGCUUUGAUUUGGUUUUGAAUACUGAUUAAAUAAAUAAAAACAUUGAAACCUCUUCUUCUUCUUAUUUCCAUCCAAAAUUUGAAAAGCAACGGUCAAUUCAAAACAGUAAAUAUUGUAGUGGCUGCGUGCUGCGUGCUUUUGGCAGGCAUGCGUUACGGCGUUACGUUUGCGAUAUCGAAAAUCACCGUUUGCGAUAUUGGAAGCAAUGCUUCCUGCUGACGGGUGUAAACGGAGGUUUGCGAUCGGUAGAGCAAAUCGGAAGCAAAGUUUGCG